AGCGAACGCUGGCGGCAGGCUUAACACAUGCAAGUCGAGCGGGCACUUUCGGGUGUCAGCGGCGGACGGGUGAGUAACGCGUGGGAACGUGCCCUCUGGUUCGGAAUAACUCAGGGAAACUUGAGCUAAUACCGGAUACGCCCUUUUGGGGAAAGGCUUGCUGCCGGAGGAUCGGCCCGCGUCUGAUUAGCUAGUUGGUGAGGUAACGGCUCACCAAGGCGACGAUCAGUAGCUGGUCUGAGAGGAUGAUCAGCCACACUGGGACUGAGACACGGCCCAGAAUCCUACGGGAGGCAGCAGUGGGGAAUAUUGGACAAUGGGCGCAAGCCUGAUCCAGCCCUGCCGGGGGAGUGAUGAAGGCCUUAGGGUUGUAAAGCUCUUUUAUCCGGGACGAUAAUGACGGUACCGGAGGAAUAAGCCCCGGCUAACUUCGUG
Molecule: ribosomal RNA, 435 nt
Filed under: uncultured bacterium
Lineage: Bacteria
Description: partial 16S ribosomal RNA
Rfam family: Bacterial small subunit ribosomal RNA
Source: RNAcentral